GUUCAGGCGCGUAAAUACUGUUCGCUGCUCCGACGGGCUUGUUCAGUCAAAGAAACGCAUUUUAUAAAUAAACUGUUCACACAGAGACAUCCAGAAUACAACCGAACAGUUCUGAACACCACCAGGCCACGCCACGUGCAGAAAAACAGCCGAGUAAUAAACAACGUAAACAGGGCAGGAAAAUAUGACAUUUUGUUAACGGACAUUCGGACGAGAUCGUUUCAACUCGUACGGCGGGGAAAGUGAUGAGCGGCGUCGGCCGAGACGACUCCUGUUUAUUCGUAAAGACCUAACAUUUGUCCCCCAUUUCCAAACUGCGGCCAGAUGAGCUACACGAACCAGAACAGUCAAUUUUGUCUCCUGCCGGAGCUUCGGGCGUCUGACCCGGGCUAUUGUCAGCCAUAGCUGCCGCCUGGCAGGAAGGCUGCUACGGGGCUCUGCUCCGACCCGGGUCGUGAUUUUUUAACCGUCCUCUGUAAAAACAGCCGCUAAAAAUCAGGAAAAGCGGCUGAAAUACACCAUUUACCCACAGUUUAGCGGCCUCUCUUCAGAUGUAGACGGGCGACGGAGAGCCACAAAGCUGUCAAACGCAGCCCAGUCCUCGCCAUUUUUGUUUGUUUCCCAAACAUGCAAACGGCCACAAAAACAGCUCGGAGAGCGAUCUGGCCUUACCUGCCGUGGAACCAGUCCUUGCAAGCAUCGCACUCGAUCAUAAAUUGGGUCACGUCGUAAG
Molecule: long non-coding RNA, 733 nt
Organism: Melanotaenia boesemani (Boeseman's rainbowfish)
Lineage: Eukaryota; Metazoa; Chordata; Actinopteri; Atheriniformes; Melanotaeniidae
Exons: 2
Source: RefSeq, a predicted model, not a curated record